AGUGAACGCUGGCGGUAGGCCUAACACAUGCAAGUCGAACGGCAGCACAGUAAGAGCUUGCUCUUACGGGUGGCGAGUGGCGGACGGGUGAGGAAUACAUCGGAAUCUACUUUUUCGUGGGGGAUAACGUAGGGAAACUUACGCUAAUACCGCAUACGACCUACGGGUGAAAGCAGGGGAUCUUCGGACCUUGCGCGAUUGAAUGAGCCGAUGUCGGAUUAGCUAGUUGGCGGGGUAAAGGCCCACCAAGGCGACGAUCCGUAGCUGGUCUGAGAGGAUGAGCAGCCACACUGGAACUGAGACACGGUCCAGACUCCUACGGGAGGCAGCAGUGGGGAAUAUUGGACAAAGGGCGCAAGCCUGAUCCAGCCAUACCGCGUGGGUGAAGAAGGCCUUCGGGUUGUGAAGCCCUUUUGUUGGGAAAGAAGAGCAGCAGGUUAAUACCCCGCUGUUCUGACGGUACCCAAAGAAUAAGCACCGGCUAACUUCGUG
This 492-nucleotide ribosomal RNA is filed under the name uncultured bacterium. RNAcentral describes it as "partial 16S ribosomal RNA". It matches the Rfam family "Bacterial small subunit ribosomal RNA", at positions 29 to 507 of the family's 1533-position model. The record is from RNAcentral.